Molecule: ribosomal RNA, 238 nt
Filed under: uncultured bacterium
Lineage: Bacteria
Description: partial 16S ribosomal RNA
Rfam family: Bacterial small subunit ribosomal RNA
Source: RNAcentral
CGUUGCCCGGAUUUAUUGGGCGUAAAGGGCGCGUAGGCGGCCACGCACGUCCGUUGUGAAAUCGCCCGGCUCAACUGGGCUAGGUCAGCGGAUACGGUGUGGCUCGAGCAAGCUAGGGGGCAAUGGAAUUCCCGGUGUAGUGGUGGAAUGCGUAGAUAUCGGGAGGAACACCAGUGGCGAAGGCGGUUGCCUGGAGCUUUGCUGACGCUGAUGCGCGAAAGCGUGGGGAGCGAUCCGG